RNAcentral lists this long non-coding RNA (5637 nucleotides) under Gossypium barbadense (sea-island cotton). RNAcentral describes it as "long non-coding RNA (GBAR_LNC000368)". Lineage: Eukaryota; Viridiplantae; Streptophyta; Magnoliopsida; Malvales; Malvaceae. The record is from RNAcentral.
GGUCAAAAUUUUUGUCAACUUGCCGCCGCUUAGGUCAAGAGUGCUCUCUUGGGUCUCCUGAAGAAACAGUAUUUUCUGGGGUCGGGAAGAAGAGAAGUGGUGGCUUUCGGGGCUAUGGACGACGGGAAGGAGUUGAGGAAUGACUUGGGGGCUAAGGAUGACGGGAAUGAGAUAGCCCUUCUUGAAGAAGAGUUGAUCCAUUUAUCGGUGAAAAGCUCUAUUGUAGAUCCUUUUGAAAAGCCAACACUGAUUUGUUCUGUUUGGACGAGAAAAAAUUACAAUCUGGACAGCCUGAGAGCACAAGUGAGAAGUAUCUGGAAAACCAAAAAGAAGUUUGAGAUUAUGAUUGCAGGCCAAAAUCUAUUCAAGAUAGUAUUCGAAGAUGAGGAAGACUUAGAGCAGAUUAUGAAUGGGCGACCAUGGUUCUUUCGAAAGCAAUUAAUUAUUUUUGAUCGUUUAACAAAAUUAGUAGAGCGAAACAAGAUCUGAUUGGUUUCUUCACUGUUUUGGCUAAAGAUCGGCCCAUGCCCAUCUGAGUGUGAUAAAAAGGAUCUGAUGCAUGCUGUGGGGUCCACGUUUGGGGGAAUUAUUCAUUCUAAGAUCAAAGGUGAUUUUUGUCGUAUUAGAGUUCAUCUAGAUGUUUAAAAACCACUUAGAAAAGGGAUUUUUGUCUCUCUAAACGACCAAGAUAAAGCCUGGCUUCUUUUCAAAUAUGAGUGUCUCCUAACGUUUUGCUUUGGGUAUAGUCACAUGGGUUACGGGAUUAAAGAUUGUCUAAUGUUAUCAGAGGGGGAUCGCAGCAAGGCGGAGGAUGAACUUCCUUUCUCGGUAGCACUUAAGGCAGAAUUGUCAGAUUAGGCAGGGAGAGCUUACUGUUUGGUUCUUUGCAGAAGAAAAUAAUGAAAAAAUGUUACUACAUCGGUUAGGAGGUAGCGGGUAAAGUUGAUAGUGUUUCAAUAGAUUCUGUACAACAGAUGCAUCGGAUGGUGAAAGAAGUUGGUUUAGAGAAGUCCUUUGAUCUUAGGGAAAUAGGGAUUUUGCGGCAAAAAUUUAGGGAUAAUGAAACAAAUUUUUAUCCUCAUAAUAUGCCGAGAGAAGUGGAAGAAAACUCCAGUAGGGAUCACUGUCGUGAGGGAAAUAGGUCAAAUUAAAUUUCUGAAUCAAACAGGCAAAUCGAACUGAUUGAGGCCUAACAAUUGAGUCAAAAGAAAUAUAGCUGGAGGCGCUUUUCUAGUAAAGAAUCUUUUGAUGCAAACAUGGCUGGGAUGAUAAUGGGGAAGCGAAAAUUUAAUCACGAGAAAUUGGAUGAUAUUGAAGCAUACCUUUCGGAUGAUGUUAAAACAAAAAGGGCAAAUUUUGACAGCAUAUGUUCGGCAGAUUUUGCAACAACUGAGCCUUCAUGCUUUGUUUUAACAGAUGUUAGUGACCCUUCACAAAUUAUAUCGACGGCUACCAAAUGGCAAGCCGACUGAAAACAAUGAAACUCUUAUGCUGAAAUGUCCGGGGAUUGGGGAAUCCCCGGGCUAUCAAGAGGCUUCACCACAUGUUAAAGCUUUACAAACCCCAAAUGGUCUUCUUAAUGGAGACAAAGCUGGAUCAAAACAGAAUGGAACGUGUUCGAAAGCGCUGUGGGUUUUAUAAUGGGCUGGAUGUUUCAGCUUUUAGUUCAAGGGGAGGUCUAAGCUUGGCUUGGAAUGGGAAUUUUUUAAUUCAAGUUCGUAGUUACUCAACUAAUCAUAUUGACGCUGAGGUUUAUGAAGAUGAUGACUCAAUUAAAUAUAGAUUUACCGGGUUUUAUGGGAACCUACGACAAGCAAAUAGACAAGAAUCUUGGAAUCUCUUUAGAAGAUUACGAAGCACCUAUACUUUGCCGUGGUGUGUAGGAGGUGAUUUUAACGAAAUAAUGUACACUCAUGAGAAAAAAGGGGGAGCAACAAGAGAUUGACGAUAAAUAGAGGAAUUUAGGCAAGCUCUGACAGACUGUGAAUUGGUUGAUAUGGGUUUCAAAGGGAAAAAAGUUGGGAAAGGGAAAUUUUGAGAGCACAAAUGUUAGAGAAAGACUUGAUAGGAGUGUGGCGAAUAGUGAAUGGUUAAACUUGUUUCACGAUUUCUCUGUUACCCAUCUUCCUCACUCUUAUUCUGACCAUUGUCCACUUUUUAUACAAACAGAGCUUAAUGAAUAUCCAGCUGGAAAGAAGAGGUUUAAAUUCGAAUCUUGGUGGAUACUGGAACCGUCUUGUGAAGAUGCCAUCAAGAAAUUGUGGACUAAAAAGUCAGGAGAUGCGCUGGAAAAAUUAGAUUAUCUUCGAGUUAAUCUUCAAAGAUGGGGGAAGACUAUCAAAGGAGAGCGUGAUAAAAGAUCGAAGGCUUUACGGAAAAGAUUGGCUAAAUUAGAAGGUAUGAAUAGGAAUGAUGAUAAUUUAGCUGAGAUGAUAACUGUAAAAUUGGAAUUAAAUUGGGAGAUGGAAAAUGAGGAAUUGUAUUGGGAACAAAGGGCUAGAGCAAAUUGGUUGCGUCAAUGGGAUAAAAAUACGGCUUUUUUCCACAGCAAAACAUCUCAAAGACAUAGGAUAAACAAGAUUUGGGGACUGGAAAACAUGGAAGGAGAUUUAAAAAUAGAGGAUACGAAUAUGGAAAGCAUCAUAAGGGAUUAUUUCAUGGGAUUAUUCCAAUCAAGUGGAGUUGGUGAUACAAACCGUCUUCUUUCGGGGGUUAAAAGGUGUAUUGGAGCGGACAUGAAUCAACUACUAAUAGAGAAAUACAAAGAGGAAGAAGUUGUCGAGGCAAUCAACAGUAUCGGGCCAACAAAAGCCUCCAGACCUGACGGUUUCCCAGUAAUUUUCUUUCAAAAAUAUUGGCACAUAGUGGGGAGGGAAGUCAGCAAUUUCUGCUUGGAAGUACUUAAUAAAGGUAAAUCUUUACAACUGCUGAAUCAUACGAAUAUAGUGUUACUUCCAAAAACGUCUCACCCAAGAAAUCCCACCAAUUUUAGACAUAUUAGUCUAUGCUCGGUGUUCUAUAAAAUCAUAUCAAAAUCUAUCGCAAACAGACUUCAAAAAGUUACGGAUCAUUGUAUCGAUUCUGCUCAAAGUGCGUUCGUUCCGAGAAGACUAAUUUCUGACAACGUACUUCUCGCCUACGAAAUUCUUCACAUUAUGAGAAAUAAAAGGGUGGGGAAAAAAGAUCUUAUGGCACUUAAGAUUGAUAUGAGUAAAGCAUAUGAUAGGGUGGAAUGGAAGUUUUUGGAAAAAAAUGAUGAUCACAAUGGCUUUUGAUGUGCGAUGGGUGGAGUGCAUAAUGCAUUGUAUUAGCACAGUGUCGUAUUCGGUGGUUUUAAAUGGCAUGCCAGGGAUGGUUUUUACUCCAAGAAGAGGCCUAAGGCAAGGGGACCCUUUAAGUCCCUUUCUAUUCCUUUUAUGCAGUGAAGGGCUGUCAACACUUUUAAGGCUUGCAACAGAGGAAGGAGUAUUGAAAGGGAUUAAGGCAAGUAGAAGGGGACCUCAAAUUUCCUAUCUCUUUUUUGCUGAUGACUGUGUUUUAUUUGGAGAAGUGACCGGCAAGGGUAUUGCAACGUUUGAAAAGGUGCUCAAGGAAUACGAAAUUUGUUCUGGAAAAUGUAUUAAUUAUAGUAAGUCAACUGUGUUUUUUAGCUCAAAUACCAUUGAAAAUGUUCGAUCUACCAUAUCGAAUCGUCUAGGACUGAAAAGGGCAAACAAUUCUGAGAAAUACCUAAGCCUACCGAAUAUGGUGGGAAGGAAGGAGCGUUUGGUAUUCCAACAUUUAAAGGAUAGCCUAAAGUUAAAGAUAGACAAUUGGAGUACAAGAUUAUUAUCGCAAGGCGGAAAAGAAGUGUUCAUCAAAGCCGUUUUACAAGCAAUCCCCACGUACACAAUGGCAUGUUUUCUUUUGCCGAAAUCAUUAUGUGAAGAAAUGGAACAAAUCAUCGCAAAAUUUUGGUGGCAAAAAGGUUAUGGGAAACGAGGUAUUCACUGGUGUUUAUGGAGCAAAUUAUGCGAGUUAAAAAAGAGUGGCGGUCUCGGAUUCCGCAAUUUGGCAAAAUUUAAUUUGGCCCUUCUCGCAAAACAAGGCUGGAAAUUAAUUGACGAUUCUAAUUCCCUUUUGGCUAGAACGUUAAAAGUUAAAUAUUAUCCGAAUACUGAUUUUUUAAAUUCAGGUUUAGGUAAUUUACCUUCCUAUACCUGGAAAAGCAUAUGGGCAGCAAAGGGCCUCUUACUAUCGGGAUUGUGCUGGAGGGUGGGGAAUGGCCAUGACAUUCGUAUAGAAGAAGAUGUUUAGGUCCCAAAUGUGCCAGGUCUACUGAUUAACAAAAAGGACAGAAUGCAGAACAUCAUAAUGGUUGCGGAUCUUAUUGACAGUAAUAUCAGAGCAUGGAAAACAGAGUUGAUUUGGAGUACCUUUUCGGAAGUUGAUGUUCCAAAGAUUCUGCAAAUCCCUUUGGCCCAGCGUUCACAAAAUGAUCUUUUGAUAUGGAGGGGUGAAGCAUCGGGUAAAUAUACUGUGCGUAGUGGUUACAAACUACUAUUACAAGGCAAUGAUUACAAUAGUAAUGGUUACAGUUUGCCUGAAAUUACAAAAUGUUACAAGAAACUGUGGAACUGUAAUCUCCCCUCAAAGGUACGUAUUACAGUUUGGAGAGCCACUCUCAACUACCUCCCUACCCUAGUGAAUUUAAGAAUCAAAAGAUUAACGAAUAACGCCAUCUGCCCGAGAUGUAAGCAAGGGCUGGAAACUAGGGAACAUAUUUUUCGCGACUGUGCUGCUGCGAAGGAAAUGUGGAAAAAAUUAAAUUAUGUAUGGUCACUCAAGUUAUCGCAUAUGGACUAUAUGGAGUGGUUUACCUGGGUAUUGUUGCACAGUAAAGAGAAAGAAUGCUACAUCUUUGUCUGUGCCAUUUGGGCUAUCUGGUCGAAUAAGAAUCAAUGGGUACACGGAGGACAUAAGAGAACUAGAACAGAAAUAGCGCAGUUUGUAAUACAGUAUUUACAGGAAUUACAAGAUAUGGAAAGAAAACACCAUGCCAAAUACUCAGUUUUAGAUUCAUGGAAGGCGCCGGAAAGCAGGUUCCUCAAAAUCAAUUUCGAUGCUCCUUUUGAUAAGGGGAAAAAUAUAUCUUGUUCAAGGGUAAUAGUCAAGAACUUUAAAGGUGAUGUAUUGGUUUCAAAAUCGGUCAUCCAUGACAAGAUUUCUUCAAGAUUUGCAGCAGAAGCCUUAGCAUGUUUGCAGGCGGUUAUGGUGGGAAAAGAAUUGGGGAUAAAAUAUGUUAUUUUCGAAGGCGACUCUCUGACAGUUAUAAAAAAAUGAACAAAAAAAAAGAUAAAUCGGUAAUCGGCCCUUAUAUUGAUGAUAUUCAAGAGCAGAAGGCGAAUUUUUAUGGAUGCAAAUUCCAGCAUGCAAAAAGAGCGGCAAAUAGAGCAGCACAUAACCUAGCAUCUGAAGGGUGAAAAUGGGGGUGAAUGCAUACUUUGUUCAUGAGCUUGUUACUCAAGUUCUCACCGAUUCAGAAAUUGAUAGGGGAUGGAGAUGAAGGCCAUCACUGAGUCAACACCAUCUCCAGCAAAUGAGAGAGUAGGAGAAAAAAUUUUAGAUCUCUAUGACUGUUUGUUUCUCCAAGAGUUA